This 497-nucleotide ribosomal RNA is filed under the name uncultured bacterium. RNAcentral describes it as "partial 16S ribosomal RNA". It matches the Rfam family "Bacterial small subunit ribosomal RNA", at positions 28 to 507 of the family's 1533-position model. The record is from RNAcentral.
GAUGAACGCUGGCGGCGUGCCUAAUACAUGCAAGUCGAGCGAACAGACGAGGAGCUUGCUCCUCUGACGUUAGCGGCGGACGGGUGAGUAACACGUGGAUAACCUACCUAUAAGACUGGGAUAACUUCGGGAAACCGGAGCUAAUACCGGAUAAUAUAUUGAACCGCAUGGUUCAAUAGUGAAAGACGGUUUUGCUGUCACUUAUAGAUGGAUCCGCGCCGCAUUAGCUAGUUGGUAAGGUAACGGCUUACCAAGGCAACGAUGCGUAGCCGACCUGAGAGCGAGAUCGGCCACACUGGAACUGAGACACGGCCCAGACUCCUACGGGAGGCAGCAGUAGGGAAUCUUCCGCGAUGGGCGAAAGCCUGACGGAGCAACGCCGCGUGAGUGAUGAAGGUCUUCGGAUCGUAAAACUCUGUUAUUAGGGAAGAACAAAUGUGUAAGUAACUAUGCACGUCUUGACGGUACCUAAUCAGAAAGCCACGGCUAACUACGUG